UGAGUUGAGUAGAGGGUCGCGUCCCGAUCGUAAUCCUACCAUCGGGAUGAGGAAAGUCCGGACUCCACAGGGCAGGGUGCUGGGUAACCCCCAGGAGCGGCGACGCUAUGGAAAGUGCAACAGAGAGUAGACUACAAUGCCUACUUUUAUAUAAGAAGUUGGGCGUUGUACAGGUGAAACGGUGCGGUAAAAGCGCACCAGUCCAUAAGGUGACUUAU
Molecule: RNase P RNA, 218 nt
Filed under: Candidatus Poribacteria bacterium
Lineage: Bacteria; Candidatus Poribacteria
Description: partial RNase P RNA component class A
Rfam family: Bacterial RNase P class A
About the family: Ribonuclease P (RNase P) is a ubiquitous endoribonuclease, found in archaea, bacteria and eukarya as well as chloroplasts and mitochondria. Its best characterised activity is the generation of mature 5'-ends of tRNAs by cleaving the 5'-leader elements of precursor-tRNAs.
Source: RNAcentral